GCCAGCAUGGUGUAGUGGACUGAGUGCUGGACUACAACCAGAAAGUCCAGGGUUCAAUUCCCUGCUCAGCCA
This is a non-coding RNA of Phrynosoma platyrhinos (Desert horned lizard), 72 nucleotides long. Lineage: Eukaryota; Metazoa; Chordata; Lepidosauria; Squamata; Phrynosomatidae. The record is from the annotation of a GenBank genome assembly.